Long non-coding RNA from Dermacentor andersoni, 502 nucleotides. RefSeq lists it as uncharacterized. NCBI's taxonomy places the organism in Eukaryota, Metazoa, Arthropoda, Arachnida, Ixodida, Ixodidae. The record is from RefSeq and is a predicted model, not a curated record.
UGUCUUUCUUUAUUUGGUCGCUUCAUUUGCUCCGCCAACGUGCGGCUCUUCUGCUUUUAUUGCUGCGGCUGCCAUUCUCAUCGUCUGCUCCUGCUGCUUUCUAUCCACGUGCAUAAUUUUUCGUAUUCUCUGCAGUUUAAAACUUUAUUUCUGUGCCUGUGAAUGUUCCGGCAAUGUCGGAAAACCUGAGGAAAGGAUACAAGGCUUGCUGCGCGGCUGUGGGAUGUAGCGACUCGGGGAGCAACACAAGGCCGAAAUUUUUGCGUUUCCCACCGGACGAGAGUUUGUCUGGGAAGGCCAUUCCAGUCUCGGCAGUUCGGAUGGAGAAUGACUGCAGGAACGUAGUGGUGCGGGCUUGUGGUGGGAUUACCGAGUUCGGAUGGCCUGUUCGACGAACACGAUGAGCCAGCUGGACCAGCUGGCUGUUACGAGUACCCCAUUGUGACCGCCGUAGGCGCUACCAGGCAAACCGCAGCUGCUGCCUGGAGGCGUUUAUUGUAAG